UUGGUACUAUCUAAUAAAAUGUAUCCUUUAGAUGUCAAUUAUCCAAUUACAUCUAUAAACCAAUUACCUUUCUCAACAAUCUCGGUUUGAGAUGAUACGCUUUCUCUCUUGGAACAUCAGUCACAAUACUCAGAUGCAAAAUCACUAACAUAACUGACACAAUUUACAUAGAAGUGUUUAUCAUGGAUGUGUGUUCUGAGAAUGCAUUAUGCUUCAAACGAUCACAUUUAACACUAAUCUUAAAACAUCAGAAAAAAUAUAAUUGAAAAAAAACAAAUAAUUUACGCAUAACCCCAAUAAAAAAAAUCAGCCAUGAAAUAUACAAGAGAUAUUUGAAUUACCUGAGAUUUAUUAUCAUUGGUUUCAUUGUAACAGC
RNAcentral lists this long non-coding RNA (376 nucleotides) under Brassica rapa (field mustard). RNAcentral describes it as "long non-coding RNA (BRAP_LNC004286)". Lineage: Eukaryota; Viridiplantae; Streptophyta; Magnoliopsida; Brassicales; Brassicaceae. The record is from RNAcentral.